This 433-nucleotide ribosomal RNA is filed under the name uncultured bacterium. Its description in RNAcentral is "partial 16S ribosomal RNA". It matches the Rfam family "Bacterial small subunit ribosomal RNA", at positions 29 to 507 of the family's 1533-position model. The record is from RNAcentral.
AACGAACGCUGGCGGCAUGCCUAACACAUGCAAGUCGAACGAGACCUUCGGGUCUAGUGGCGCACGGGUGCGUAACGCGUGGGAACCUGCCCUUAGGUUCGGAAUAACUCCCCGAAAGGGGUGCUAAUACCGGAUAAUGUCUUCGGACCAAAGAUUUAUCGCCUUUGGAUGGGCCCGCGUUGGAUUAGCCAGUUGGUAGGGUAAAAGCCUACCAAGGCGACGAUCCAUAGCUGGUCUGAGAGGAUGAUCAGCCACACUGGGACUGAGACACGGCCCAGACUCCUACGGGAGGCAGCAGUGGGGAAUAUUGGACGAUGGGCGAAAGCCUGAUCCAGCCAUGCCGCGUGAGUGAUGAAGGCCUUAGGGUUGUAAAGCUCUUUUACCCGGGAUGAUAAUGACAGUACCGGGAGAAUAAGCUCCGGCUAACUACGUG